This 459-nucleotide ribosomal RNA is filed under the name uncultured Anaerolineaceae bacterium. Its description in RNAcentral is "bacterial SSU rRNA". It matches the Rfam family "Bacterial small subunit ribosomal RNA", at positions 910 to 1382 of the family's 1533-position model. The record is from RNAcentral. Lineage: Bacteria; Bacillati; Chloroflexota; Anaerolineae; Anaerolineales; Anaerolineaceae.
UUGACGGGGACCCGCACAAGCAGCGGAGCGUGUGGUUUAAUUCGAUGCUACACGAAGAACCUUACCAGGGUUUGACAUGCAAGUGGUAGGAAACUGAAAGGGGACCGACCCUUCGGGGAGCUUGCACAGGUGCUGCAUGGCUGUCGUCAGCUCGUGUCGUGAGAUGUUCGGUUAAGUCCGCUAACGAGCGCAACCCUCACUGUGUGUUAUACGUGUCACACGGGACUGCCGGUUUUAAGCCGGAGGAAGGUGGGGAUGACGUCAAGUCAGCAUGGCCUUUAUAUCCUGGGCUACACACACGCUACAAUGGUCGGUACAAUAGGUUGCCAAGCCGCGAGGCGGAGCCAAUCCAUAAAGCCGGCCUCAGUUCAGAUUGUAGGCUGCAACUCGCCUGCAUGAAGAUGGAGUUGCUAGUAACCGCAGGUCAGCAAUACUGCGGUGAAUACGUUCCCGGGUCUU